CCUCUGCGCUAGGCCUAGUGGUAGGCGAUUAAAGGGAAGCUGAGGUCUGAGUCCUGGCUGACUCAUCAGGGCUGGAACCACCGCCACUAGAUGAAGCCACAAGCUCAACUGAGCUAUACAAAGUUAAGUUUUGAACCGACAAUGCGACGGUACUUGGUGUAGAGUAUUAACUACGGAAUCUAAGCUAGGUUGCUCUAAAUUAGACACUUGUUUAAGCAAACCACGGCCUGUGCAGAGGAGAAAGGGCAGGAAGACAAAGUCACGCCUUAGCUCUGGAUUGAAUCAUAAGCAGCGGAGCUCCCAAACCAGCCGCACUCUCCGAGGAUGUUCGCGUUUCCGGAGCAACCGCCAGGUCCCUCCCCCCCUUAGCUCCGCCCCCAGCAGUCUUUCCCGCCAAAGGCCGUUAAGCCGCAGAGCAUUGUGGGACAAGGCUCAAGGCUAGGUUUCACCCAAUGCUUUCAAGGCGAGGAUUUGUUUUAAGAGACUCAUUCCUGGAAGAAUCGACUAUCUCUUAAGACUCGUCAGGGAUUAGUAACCCCUUUAACGAGGAACCUGUGUUUAAUUUUUACCAAACGGCUGGUCACUUCACUUGCAAACCACUCCGCAAAUUGGGAACGCGAGGAACUUUUUUUCCCCCUUCUCGCGGAGGGUCACGUCGCGCAUGCGUGAGCGUACCCUUCGCAGCACCCGUUACGCUCUUGCGCGUGCGUACUGAGAUCGAAUAGCUGCUUCCUCCCGCUUCUCUACCUCCCUCCCCCCAUAUCCGUGCGCCGAGCUGAUAAAGGCGCCAUUUUGGAGGGGCCGCGGGAGACGUGGUGUCGCUGCGGGCUCGCUCUGCCGUGCGCUAGGCUUGGUGGGAAGGCCUGUUCUCGAGUCCGCGCUUUUCGUCGCCGCCAUGUCGGGAGGUGGUGUGAUUCGUGGCCCGGCAGGGAACAACGAUUGCCGUAUCUACGUGGGUAACUUACCUCCAGACAUCCGAACCAAGGACAUUGAGGACGUGUUCUACAAAUACGGUGCUAUCCGCGACAUCGAUCUCAAGAAUCGCCGCGGAGGACCGCCCUUCGCCUUCGUUGAGUUCGAGGACCCUCGAGACGCGGAAGACGCGGUAUACGGUCGCGACGGCUAUGAUUACGAUGGAUACCGUCUGCGGGUGGAGUUUCCUCGAAGCGGCCGUGGUACAGGCCGAGGCGGCGGCGGGGGUGGAGGUGGCGGGGCUCCCCGAGGCCGCUAUGGUCCCCCAUCCAGGCGUUCUGAAAACAGAGUGGUUGUCUCCGGACUGCCUCCAAGUGGAAGCUGGCAGGAUUUAAAGGAUCACAUGCGUGAAGCAGGUGAUGUAUGUUAUGCUGAUGUUUACCGAGAUGGCACUGGUGUCGUGGAGUUUGUACGGAAAGAAGAUAUGACCUAUGCAGUUCGAAAACUGGAUAACACUAAGUUUAGAUCUCAUGAGGGAGAAACUGCCUACAUCCGGGUUAAAGUUGAUGGGCCCAGAAGUCCAAGUUAUGGAAGAUCACGAUCUCGAAGCCGUAGUCGUAGCAGAAGCCGUAGCAGAAGCAACAGCAGGAGUCGCAGUUACUCCCCAAGGAGAAGCAGAGGAUCACCACGCUAUUCUCCCCGUCAUAGCAGAUCUCGCUCUCGUACAUAAGAUGAUUGGUGACACUUUUUGUAGAACCCAUGUUGUAUACAGUUUUCCUUUACUCAGUACAAUCUUUUCAUUUUUUAAUUCAAACUGUUUUGUUCAGAAUGGGCUAAAGUGUUGAAUUGCAUUCUUGUGUAAUAUCCCCUUGCUCCUAACAUCUACAUUCCCCUCAUGUCUGAUAAAUUGUAUUUUAAGUGAUGUCAUAGACAGGAUUGUUUAAAUUUAGUUAACUCUCCAUGCUCUUCAGACUGUGAUAUUGUGUAAAUGUCUAUUCUGCUCUGGUUUGUGUGAACUGGGAUGUUGGGGGUGUUUGUGGUUAUCUUACCUGGGGAAGUUCUUAUGUUUAUCUUGCUUUUCAUGUGUCUUUCUGUAGACAUAUCUGAAGAGAUGGAUUAAGAAUGCUUUGGAUUAAGGAUUGUGGAGCACAUUUCAAUCAUUUUAGGAUUGUCAAAAGGAGGAUUGAGGAGGAUCAGAUCAAUAAUGGAGGCAAUGGUAUGACUCCAAGUGCUAUUGUCACAGAUGAAAUUGGCAGUAUUGACCUUAUACUAAAAGGCAAGGGUUAAAAGUGAUUAUAUAUAUAUAUAUAUAUACAUCUACCUUAAAACACUUGCAAACAUCUUAUGCAGUUAUCUUUAGCUACAAUUGCUUUGCUCUUUAAACCUUGGCAAUUGUGGCAAAAUUACAUUGCCCAUUUUGUAACAAUUUAUUUUGCUCCCUUCCCCCCUUUUUUGUUUUAAUAGGGACUAAUGUGGGAAGAACUGGCUAAUUUGUCACAGUGCUUAGUUACAACUGUUAAUGUGUGACCUGCUGUUGGUGUACAUGUGGGUACAGGGUGUCUUUAAUUCCAACCAGAUAGAGUAUAAUAUCAAUACUGCUAAAUCUGCAUGUCCUCUGUGUGACUGAUAUAGCGUUGCUAUUUCAUUUUUUUAAGACAAAAUGAAAGCAGAAUAGAGAAUUCCAGUGUAUUGGUGUAGAUAAUCUAGUUGGGAAUACUUUUUAAGUCUCACCUUCCCCUUUAAUAUUCAUAAUUGACUCAUGUUUAAAACACUUUAAUUUACAAAUUAAAUUGCAGAUGGGAGCAUUAGGUUUAGUUUAGACUUAGGGUGGGUAGCAAUACCAGUAAACUUCUCAACUACAUAACUUUUUGCAACCACAAAACCUGUAAUACGCUGUACAGUAACAAGUGUUGGCAUUAUCAGUUGAACUGUAAAUAUAAAAUGCUUCUUCCAAUUAGUCUCUAUGAUGAUUAAGUUUCUAAAAUUUAUCUGAACACCAUUCAGAAACUUGUUUUGGGGAAUUUGAUAGUUAUUGAUGUACAUCUGUUAAACUGAUGACAGACAUAACUCAUCAUUCCCCAGAAACCUUUUUUGAUUACAGUAUCUAACAUUUUGCCUCCUCUUUUUUGGUUUUGCUGGUUAUAAAGGUUUGGAUUGGAGAGGGCUCACUGGAUCCCAAUCCUUGGAGCUGGAUCAUUGGAUUCAAAUCAUAAUGUGGAUAGGAUAGGGAGGAUGAAUUACAAGGAUUCAUGGAGCGGGAUCAGAUUACCAGGAACAUAGGAGUGGAUUCCUGCCCCAACCAAACCGCAUUCGUGUGGAUUUUUUUUUUUUUUAUUCAACUUAAUUGGCUAUUCCAAAGAUUUUUUUUUUCCUAUUUUUGACGAUUGGAGCCCUUAAGAUGCACGAUGGAAUUGUGUUUUGCAUUUUUUGGUAAAAGGAGCAAAGCGAGGACCUGGAGAUAAUACGCUGGAGCAAUCUCCUUGGAAGGAUUCAGCACGAGUAGAUGGCUGACCUGGUCCUUGAUGUGCUACCUGCUUCUGCUACUGAUCCAUACUGCAGAACUUCUCAUUCAUCCCCAAGGCUUCCAGCAGCAAUGUCCAAUAGGGAAUCAACUCUAAAAGGAACCAGACCAACGUUUCCAGCCCUUCAUUCUGGUGACUGAGGGAAGGAAACAGUGGGAGGGGUUAUACAUGUGUAGUGGAUGGAAGGGAAACACAGACUGUCAAAUUACUAUAUCUCUUUAGUUUCUUUUGCAAAUAGAAUUCUGCAACCGUAUUAUUUCUAUUGUGUAAGUAUAGGGGAAGUUCAAGAUGGUGACCUUGAUUAGAAUGUGUCUGGAGAGGAAUAAAUGGAGUGUAUGAGAUAAGAGACAGUUGGUUAUGAAAGAUGUUGAAGUCUUGAAAUAAUGUGACCAUCUGAGGAAUUUUUUAAAACCAUAGCUUAUAAAAAUAUCACUGAUACAGCCUGCCCCCUCAUUUCCCGCCACAGGAGACUACUUGGACUGGAGACACUUGUUUAAUAAUAGCUUGUCUCUGAUAUUCCCAGUAGCUACCUCCCUGUGAGGAAAGGAUAGCAAACGUUCAGGACAUCAUCAUACAAAGUUCCAGUAGCAGUGACACCUACGCGGAAGACUUGGAACUGCAAACAGAGGCUGGGGUCACCUCAGUGACAUCUGACGCCGUCCAACCACAAGUUCGAUUUUUGUUUUGUGGGGUGAGGGAGCAGACUGUACUAAAGGACUAAAAUGAUUUCUUGUCUAUA
This is an RNA transcript of Neomonachus schauinslandi (Hawaiian monk seal), 4173 nucleotides long. It is a transcript of the gene named serine and arginine rich splicing factor 1, with no coding region annotated. The record is from RefSeq and is a predicted model, not a curated record. The transcript is spliced from 5 exons. NCBI's taxonomy places the organism in Eukaryota, Metazoa, Chordata, Mammalia, Carnivora, Phocidae.